GAGUUUGAUCAUGGCUCAGGACGAACGCUGGCGGCGUGCUUAACACAUGCAAGUCGAGCGAUGAAGCUUCCUUCGGGAAGUGGAUUAGCGGCGGACGGGUGAGUAACACGUGGGCAACCCGCCUCAAAGAGGGGAAUAGCCCUCCGAAAGGAGGAUUAAUACCGCAUAAAGUUAGAGUUUCGCAUGAAACUUUAACCAAAGGAGUAAUCUGCUUUGAGAUGGGCCCGCGUCCCAUUAGCUAGUUGGUAAGGUAAUGGCUUACCAAGGCAACGAUGGGUAGCCGACCUGAGAGGGUGAUCGGCCACAUUGGAACUGAGACACGGUCCAGACUCCUACGGGAGGCAGCAGUGGGGAAUAUUGCGCAAUGGGGGAAACCCUGACGCAGCAACGCCGCGUGGGUGAUGAAGGUUUUCGGAUC
RNAcentral lists this ribosomal RNA (418 nucleotides) under uncultured bacterium. Its description in RNAcentral is "bacterial SSU rRNA". It matches the Rfam family "Bacterial small subunit ribosomal RNA", at positions 9 to 424 of the family's 1533-position model. The record is from RNAcentral.